Molecule: non-coding RNA, 122 nt
Organism: Coniochaeta sp. 2T2.1
Lineage: Eukaryota; Fungi; Ascomycota; Sordariomycetes; Coniochaetales; Coniochaetaceae
Source: the annotation of a GenBank genome assembly
GGGGGUGUAGCUCAUCUGAUAGAGCGCCUGCUUUGCAUUCGAGUUUUUCAGCCCUCCGAAAGCUGGUUCCGCACCCCUCAUGCACUUGCAGGAGGCACAGGGUUCGACUCCCUGCUCCUCCA